RNAcentral lists this ribosomal RNA (577 nucleotides) under Parlibellus berkeleyi. RNAcentral's name for it is "eukaryotic LSU rRNA". It matches the Rfam family "Eukaryotic large subunit ribosomal RNA", at positions 364 to 1006 of the family's 3401-position model. Lineage: Eukaryota; Bacillariophyta; Bacillariophyceae; Naviculales; Stauroneidaceae. The record is from RNAcentral.
AUGCAAAGAACUUUGAAAAGAGAGUUAAAGAGUACCUGAAAUUGCUGAAAAGGAAGCGAAGGAAACCAGUGCCAGGCGCGUCAUAUUUCCUUGUUCGCUUGCGAAUGGGGCGCUGUGGCCGCCGUUGCCAGGCUUUGUUGAAUCGCCGGGAAGUGCGCUUAGGGAGUUUGACCUGAGCAUKCCGCCGUCGUCUUGACCGAGAAUGGCGAAAUGGUUUUCUUUUUCCCGUCUUGAAACACGGACCAAGGAGUCUAACAUAUGUGCGAGUACAGAGGUGGCAAACCUCCGUGCGCAAUGAAAGUGACAGUGGCUGGAGCUUUGUGCACAGUCCGCCGGCCUCAAUCCCUCGGGAGAACGGUCUGAGUGUGAGCAUACAUGUUGGGACCCGAAAGAUGGUGAACUAUGCCUGAAUAGGGUGAAGCCAGGGGAAACUCUGGUGGAGGCUCGUAGCGAUUCUGACGUGCAAAUCGAUCGUCAAAUUUGGGUAUAGGGGCGAAAGACUAAUCGAACCAUACUAGUAGCUGGUUCCCUCCGAAAUUUCCCUCAGGAUAGCUGCGAUCGGAUAUCAAUUUUAUCA